RNAcentral lists this ribosomal RNA (3110 nucleotides) under Burkholderia mallei 2002721280. RNAcentral's name for it is "23S ribosomal RNA". The record is from RNAcentral. Lineage: Bacteria; Pseudomonadati; Pseudomonadota; Betaproteobacteria; Burkholderiales; Burkholderiaceae.
GCGCGUGACGCCGGCCGCGUGAAUCACGCCCGACAAGCGGCCGUGCUCGCGCAGCAGAUCGCCGACGAGCGCCGCGACGACCGGCGCGUCGCCGACAUCGACGGACCGGUAGCGAAUAUCGACGCCGGCGGGCCGCGCGAUCGCGCCGAGCGACGCCGACAGCGCCGCGUCCGGCGCCGCCGCGCGGCCGGCGAGCACGAUCGUCGCCCGGCGCACGUGAGCCGCGAUGUCCUUCGCGAACGCGAGCCCCAGCCCGCCCGCGCCCCCCGUGAUCAGGUAGACGCCCGCCUCCUUCCACGGGCGCGGCGGUUCGUCGCGACCUGCCGGCAGCGCCUCGAAGACGAGCGACUCGCGGCGCGCGCGCCGGUAGCGCACGAAGUCCGCAUCGUCGCCGCGAUUCUCCAGCGCGCGCGCCGCCGCGUCGGCGGCCUGCGUCGCACGCUCGAGCGACAGCAGUUGCACCGACCACGACGGAUGCUCGAGGCGCGCGCCGCGCACGAGCGCCGACAGCGCGGCGAACGCGCGCUCGGGCCCGUCCGCCGGCACCAGCACCUGCACCGCCGCGCGCGGCGUCGCGCCGCUAAGCGCGAGCUCGCGAAACAGCUCGAACAGUUGCCCCGCGCUGUCCGCGAACCGGCUUUCGAGCGUCGCCGCAUCGGAAUCGAUCGCGACGAUCGACGUGUCCGGCAAGCGCGCCCGCAGCGUCGCGAGAUCGCGCCGCAGCGCCGCGCCUUCGUCGAAACCGCAGAGCACCAGCCAGUGCGCGACAUCGGCCGCGCCGGCGCUCGCGCGCUCGCCGGAAAGCGGCCGCGCGGCCCACCGCGGCCGGAACAGCCGCGGCGCCGCGACAUCGCGGCCGGACGCCUCGCGCAACGGCCGGAACGUGAGCGCGCGAAAACUCGCCCAGACGCGGCCGCGGUCGUCGCAGACAUCGAGAUCGACGGGCGCGAGCGCCGCCCGGGCGCCGUCGCGCCGACGCGCCCAGACCCACGCGCGCGCCGGGCAAGACCCGGCGCAGACGAGGCAAUCGAGCGAGAACGGCACGCAGGCGGGCGACGCGCCGAGCGCGUCGCGGCCGAUCGCGGCCGCCAUCGCAGCCUGCACCGCCGCGUCGAGCAAGCCGGGCGGCAGCCGGUGGCGCUCGCGCGCGUCCGCGAUGCAAUCGGGCAGCACGAUGUGCGCGAGCACUUCCGUCGCGCCGCGUGCGCCGCCGCGCCAGCGCAGGCCGCGCAGGCCCCGAUGCGCGGGCCCGUAGCCGAAGCCCAUCCGCUCGAACGCGCGAUGACAGUCGUGCGCGUCGCGCUCGUGCGCGCCGGGCUCGCCGUCGAACCGCGCGCGCAAGGCGUCCAGAUCGAGCGCCGGCUCGGGCGGCCCGGCCACGUCGAGCACGGUGCCGCGCGCAUGCACGCGCUCGCCGCCGCCCGCCGCAUCGGGCGGCGAGUACGCUUCGUACGCGUGGGCGCCGGGCCGGGCCGCGACGCGCCGCAGCCGCACGCCGAGCACGCGCUCGGGCGUCGCGACAUCGACGGGAUGGGUCCACGCGAGGUCGCGGAAUUCGAUCGCGGGCGCGUCCGCGCGCGCGAGCGCCGCCCAUGCGGCAUGCGCCAGUUCGAAGUGGACGACGCCCGGCAGGAUCUUCCGCCCACGCAGGCGAUGGUCGGUGAGGAAACUCGCGUCGCCGUCGAGCCGCACGCGGAACGACGCGCCGGCGGCGUCGCGCGAUUCGGCCUCGAGCCGCGGCGCGGUAGGCGUCGUCGGGCGCGGCCGGCGGCGCGGCGGCGGCGGUCGCCUCGCUCGCCUCGGCGGGCCGCGCCGCGAUCCAGUGGCGCUCGCGCGCGAACGGAUAGCACGGCAGCGGCACGCACGCGGGCCGCGCGUCGUACAGCGCGCUCCAGUUCGCGAUCCGCACGCCGUCCGCCCAGUAGCGCGCGAGCUUCGCGAGCUGCCGCUCGCGCAGCCAUGCGGACACGACCUGCUGCACGUCGGGAUUCUGAUUGACGAAAUCCGCGACGGACGUCUUCGGCGCGCCGCCGCCGACGAACGUGCCGGGCUGCGCGGCGCCCGCCGCGAACGCGCGCAGGCGCCGCACCGCUUCCUCGAGCGACGCGGCGACGAACGCGAGCCGCCACGCCAUCGCCUGGCGGCGCUGCAACGCAUGCGCGACGGCGGCGGCGGCCGGCGCGUCAUCGCCCGACUGUAGCCGGCGUUCGCAGUAGGCGAGCACGCGCCGCGCGUAUUCGGCGAGCUGCUCGCGGCAGUGCGCGGAGAGCACGAACAGCGCGUCACCCGCCGCCGCGCGCGGCGGCGCUUCGGACGGAUAUUCCUCGAGCACCACGUGGGCGUUGGCGCCGCCGGAGCCGAAGCUGCUCACGCCCGCGAGCCGGCGCGCGCCGCCGCGCGCCGGCCACGCGCGAUGCGUGUCGACGACCGCGAACGGCGUGCGCGCGAGGCUGAUCUGCGCGUUCAGCCGCGAGAAAUGGAGCGUCGCCGGCACCUCGCGGUGCUUCAGCGCGAGCACCGUCUUGAGCACGCCGGCCAGCCCGGCCGCCGCCUCCAGAUGCCCGAGAUUGCUCUUCACCGAGCCGAUUCCGCACGUGCCGCGGGCCGCCGCGUCGUCGCGCGCGCCGAACGCAUCGGCCAGGCCGCGCACCUCGAUCGGAUCGCCGAGCCGCGUGCCGGUGCCGUGCAUCUCGAGAUAGCCGAUGUCGUCGGCCGACACGCGCGCCGCGGCCCAUGCGGCGCGCAGCAGGUCCGCCUGCCGGUCGGGAUGCGGCACGGUCAACCCGCCCGUCAGGCCGCCGUGGUUGCAGGCGCUGCCGCGAAUCACCGCAUGGAUGGGAUCGCCGUCCGCGACGGCCUGCUCGAGACGCCGGAGCAUCAGCAUCACCGCGCCUUCCGAGCGCACGUAACCGUCGGCGGCAUCGUCGAGCGUCUUGCAGCGGCCCUGCGGCGACAGCAUGCCGGCCUUGUAGUACGCGAUCGUGUUGCCCGGAUGGCAGAUCACGUUGACGCCGCCGACGAGCGCCUGAUCGCACUCGCCGGCGCGCAGCGCCUGCACCGCCUGAUGCAGCGCGACGAGCGAGCUCGAGCAUGCGGUAUCGACCUGGAUG